GAGUUUGAUCCUGGCUCAGGAUGAACGCUAGCGGAACGCCUAACACAUGCAAGUCAAACGGUCGCCUCGGCGACAGUGGCAAACGAGCGAGUAACGCGUACCUAGUCUGCCCUUGAGUUGGGAACAACUACGGAGACGUAGCUAAUUCCCAAUAUGCUCACGACGGUGAAAUUCCGAUGUGAGGAAAGAUUUAUCGCUCAAGGAGGGGGGUGCGUCCUAUCAGGUUGUUGGUAGGGUAAUAGCCUACCAAGCCUAUGACGGGUAGCCGGUCUGAGAGGAUGUCCGGCCGCGAUGGGACUGAGAUACGGCCCAUACUCCUACGGGAGGCAGCAGUGGGGAAUUUUGCACAAUGGACGCAAGUCUGAUGCAGCGAUUCCGCGUGGAGGAUGAAGCAUUACGGUGUGUAAACUCCUUUUCUGGUGGAAGACGAAUGACGGUACACCAGGAAUAAGAGACGGCUAACUACGUGCCAGCAGCCGCGGUAAUACGUAGGUCUCAAGCGUUAUCCGGAUUUACUGGGCGUAAAGAGUCCGUAGCCCGAUAUGUAAGUCAGUUUUCAAAUACCCCGACUCAAUCGGGGAAAGGGAAUAGAUACUGCAUAUCUAGAGAGUAUUGGAGGUUAGUGGAAUUUCCGGUGGAGCGGUGAAAUGCGUUGAUAUCGGAAAGAACGCCGAAAGCGAAAGCAGCUAACUAUGAUCACUCUGACGGUGAGGGACGACAGCAUGGGGAGCAAACGGGAUUAGAUACCCCGGUAGUCCAUGCCGUAAAUUAUGUCUGCUAGGUGUUUCUCCGGUAAUUAUAUUUGUAUCGUAUAAAUGUAAUUACCGGAGGAGUGCCGUAAUCUAACGAGUUAAGCAGAUCGCCUGGGUAGUAUAUUCGCAAGAAUGAAACUCAAAGGGAUAGGCGGGGGAAC
This 913-nucleotide ribosomal RNA is filed under the name uncultured candidate division SR1 bacterium. Its description in RNAcentral is "bacterial SSU rRNA". It matches the Rfam family "Bacterial small subunit ribosomal RNA", at positions 9 to 922 of the family's 1533-position model. Lineage: Bacteria; Candidatus Absconditibacteriota. The record is from RNAcentral.